Molecule: long non-coding RNA, 491 nt
Filed under: Androctonus crassicauda
Lineage: Eukaryota; Metazoa; Arthropoda; Arachnida; Scorpiones; Buthidae
Source: RNAcentral
GUUUGCUAUGUCACGGGCUAGCGCUGGGUCUGUCUGGUCCGGGGGGGGAUUCUCCACAGGAGAUCGGUAGGGGUGUAGACAUGAGAGUUCCAACCUCAAUGACGGGUGAAGUGUCUCAUAGUCAUGGGCAGCCCAGCACAUUUCAUCUAUUGUCUCCAUAGCCUUAACUUUCUCCAGUACUAUUGCUGCAAUCUUCGUUGAAUUUCGUGUUUCCCCCAAUAUGUUGUUACACCAUUUCGCAAUCGUCUUUUGUAGUUGAUACGUCGGGGCCUGUCUUUUCUCCAGAUGAAAUGUGCUGGGCUGCUUGUGACUGUGAGGCACUUUGCCCGUCAUUGAGGUUGGAACUCGUAUGUCUGCACUUUUGCCGAUUUCUUGUGGAGGGUCUUCCUUCGGACCGGACGGAUCCGGCGCUGGUUUGUGACAUGGUGAACCUUAUAUGCUACAACUCAUGCUUUGGAUUUGAAAAUGGAGUUUAUAAGCAGAUGAGAGAC